CGUGUAGGCGGUUGCGGUAAGUUGGGCGUGAAAUCCCCGAGCUUAACUCGGGUGGGCCGUUCAAGACUGCCGUGCUAGGGUGCGGGGAGAGGGAAGUGGAAUUUCCGGUGUAGCGGUGAAAUGCGUAGAUAUCGGGAGGAACACCUGCGGCGAAGGCGGCUUCCUGGACCGUAACCGACGCUGAGGCGCGAAAGCUAGGGGAGCGAAACAGGAUUAGAUACCCUGGUAGUCCUAGCCCUAAACGAUGAGCACUGGGUGUGGCCCCUCACGAGGCCGUGCCGAAGCUAACGCAUUAAGUGCUCCGCCUGGGGAGUACGGUCGCAAGGCUGAA
Molecule: ribosomal RNA, 331 nt
Filed under: uncultured bacterium
Lineage: Bacteria
Description: bacterial SSU rRNA
Rfam family: Bacterial small subunit ribosomal RNA
Source: RNAcentral